UAUUAUUGAUGAUGUCAUUAACAUUGAUGAUGUCAUCGCGGUGUGCUUGUUUCUCUGCAGAAAGCAGUAAAGACUCCAAACCGGCAGUGAAGAGACUCGGAGCGUCUCCUGACUUUAAACCUGGUGGACCAAAGAAGUUCAGGACGGACCAAUAGGAGCCCACAUCCAGUCGAGGCCUGUGAUUGGUCACUGUUGUCUUAGGCCCCGCCCUGCAGCGUGUUGACAAGGAGGCGGGGCUCUGACAGCUUCCUGUCCCACAGGAAACACAAAAUAAAAGACUUGUAGGAUAUUUGUUCAUUAUUGACCAAUCAGAAUCAGUUCUUUGGUUGUCAUGGAGACGAGGAGGGGCGGAGUCAGCAGUUCAAAGGUCAUGUGAUCUGGGGACAGGUCAAAGCUGUAAAUACUUUUCUUUGUUUUUUUAUCAGCUGAUUUCUUCUGUGGUUGGUUUGUGGAGCGAUGAGCUCUCCCAUUGGUCGCUUUGUCAGCUGACUGUUUGUGAAUAUUCUCUAAACAAUAAAGAUUUUUUAGAACAUUUUAUA
Molecule: long non-coding RNA, 539 nt
Organism: Larimichthys crocea (large yellow croaker)
Lineage: Eukaryota; Metazoa; Chordata; Actinopteri; Sciaenidae
Exons: 2
Source: RefSeq, a predicted model, not a curated record